CCUCCAGGCCUGAACCCUCCCUUUUCCCUCCAAACAAUUCCAGGCAGAACAAAGAGAGAGUGAUGUGAGUUUAAUGUGGCUUUUGUGCCUUUAUAAUUUAUUUGGUUGAAAUGAGAUAUAUAUUGUUUGAAAGUUAACAGAUUGUUUUGUGUUAUGUUAGAUACCUGAGUUUAAUAUGUGAAGGAGAAAAGGCAAAUUCCAGAUUGUGGAUGCAUAAAGAUAAAAAAUCAUCCACCAACUGCCAUCCAACUUCACACCUUGACUUUAAUAAAUUGUUGGAACGGC
Molecule: long non-coding RNA, 285 nt
Organism: Sebastes umbrosus (honeycomb rockfish)
Lineage: Eukaryota; Metazoa; Chordata; Actinopteri; Perciformes; Sebastidae
Exons: 2
Source: RefSeq, a predicted model, not a curated record